GAUGAACGCUGGCGGCGUGCUUAAUACAUGCAAGUCGAGCGAACAGACGAUGAUCUUGCUCCUCUGACGAUAGCGGCGGGCGGGUGUGUAACACGUGUAAAACCCACCUAUAAGACUGGGAUCACUUCGGGAAAGGGGAGCUAAUACCGGAUAAGAUCUUGAACCGCAUGGGUGAAUAGUGAAAGACGGCGUUUCGGGCACUUAUAGCUGGUUCUGCGCCGCAUGAGGUGGUUGGUAAGGUAACGGGUUAUCAAGGCAACGAUGCGUAGACGACCGGAGUGGGGGGUAGGCCGCCUUGGAAGGGGGACAGGCACAAUGCUCCUACGGGAGGCACCAGUAGGGAAUCGUCCGCAAUGGGCGGAAGCCUGACGGAGCAGCGCGGAGUGAGUGAUGAAGAUCUUCGGGUCGUAAAGCCCUGUUAUUAGGGAAGAACAACUGUGUCAGUAACUAUGCCCGUCUUGACGGUAACUAAUCAGAAAGCCACGGCUAACUACGUG
This 497-nucleotide ribosomal RNA is filed under the name uncultured bacterium. RNAcentral describes it as "partial 16S ribosomal RNA". It matches the Rfam family "Bacterial small subunit ribosomal RNA", at positions 28 to 507 of the family's 1533-position model. The record is from RNAcentral.